RNAcentral lists this ribosomal RNA (473 nucleotides) under uncultured bacterium. RNAcentral's name for it is "bacterial SSU rRNA". It matches the Rfam family "Bacterial small subunit ribosomal RNA", at positions 24 to 518 of the family's 1533-position model. The record is from RNAcentral.
UCAGGAUGAACGCUGGCGGCGUGCUUAACACAUGCAAGUUGCGCGGUGAUCUCAAGAAGUUUCGGACGGAAAGGGAGAGCAGCAGCGGACGGGUGAGUAAAGCACAAGGACUUGUCCCGAAGAGGGGGACAACUGUGGGAAACCACAGCUAAUACCCCAUAAGCCGAGAGGUGAAAGCAGUAAUGCGCUUUAGGAGAGACUUGUGUCCUAUCAGGUAGUUGGUGAGGUAACGGCUCACCAAGCCGAAGACGGGUAGCCGGACUGAGAGGUUGUACGGCCACAUUGGAACUGAGAGACGGUCCAGACUCCUACGGGAGGCAGCAGUGGGGAAUAUUGGGCAAUGGGGGCAACCCUGACCCAGCGACGCCGCGUGAGGGAAGACAGCCUUCGGGUUGUAAACCUCUGUUGCAGGGGAAGAAGAAAGUGACGGUACCCUGCGAGGAAGCUCCGGCAAACUACGUGCCAGCCGCCGC